GAUUUGUCUGGUUAAUUCCGAUAACGAACGAGACUCUGGCCUAUUAAAUAGACGGUAUAUCGAAAAGUAUAUCGCGCUUCUUAGAGGGACAAGCGGCGUCUAGCCGCAUGAAAUAGAGCAAUAACAGGUCUGUGAUGCCCUUAGAUGUCCGGGGCUGCACGCGCGCUACACUGAAAGAAUCAGCGUGCGCUUUACCUAGUUCGGAAGAACCGGGUAACCCAAGUAAAUUCUUUCGUGCUUGGGAUAGGGAAUUGCAAUUAUUUCCCUUAAACGAGGAAUUCCCAGUAAAUGCGGGUCAUAAGCUCGCGUUGAUUACGUCCCUGCCCUUUGUA
RNAcentral lists this ribosomal RNA (332 nucleotides) under Dorylaimida sp. F06. RNAcentral's name for it is "SSU rRNA". It matches the Rfam family "Eukaryotic small subunit ribosomal RNA", at positions 1308 to 1664 of the family's 1831-position model. The record is from RNAcentral. Lineage: Eukaryota; Metazoa; Nematoda; Enoplea; Dorylaimida.